This 19-nucleotide unclassified non-coding RNA is filed under the name Chlamydomonas reinhardtii. RNAcentral describes it as "small RNA Cre_2684". Lineage: Eukaryota; Viridiplantae; Chlorophyta; Chlorophyceae; Chlamydomonadales; Chlamydomonadaceae. The record is from RNAcentral.
UCGGAGAAGCGGGUAGCUG